This 301-nucleotide ribosomal RNA is filed under the name uncultured bacterium. RNAcentral's name for it is "partial 16S ribosomal RNA". It matches the Rfam family "Bacterial small subunit ribosomal RNA", at positions 509 to 809 of the family's 1533-position model. The record is from RNAcentral.
CAGUAGCCGCGGUAAUACGAAGGGGGCUAGCGUUGUUCGGAUUUACUGGGCGUAAAGCGCACGUAGGCGGAUCGAUCAGUCAGGGGUGAAAUCCCAGAGCUCAACUCUGGAACUGCCUUUGAUACUGUCGAUCUGGAGUAUGGAAGAGGUGAGUGGAAUUCCGAGUGUAGAGGUGAAAUUCGUAGAUAUUCGGAGGAACACCAGUGGCGAAGGCGGCUCACUGGUCCAUUACUGACGCUGAGGUGCGAAAGCGUGGGGAGCAAACAGGAUUAGAUACCCGCGUAGUCCCUGUCUCUUAUAU